CCUACGGGAGGCAGCAGUGAGGAAUAUUGGUCAAUGGGCGGAAGCCUGAACCAGCCAAGUAGCGUGCGGGAUGAAGGCCCUACGGGUCGUAAACCGCUUUUGCACGGGGAUAACACCCUCCACUUGUGGAGGUCUGCAGGUACCGUGCGAAUAAGGGCCGGCUAAUUCCGUGCCAGCAGCCGCGGUAAUACGGAGGGCCCGAGCGUUAUCCGGAUUCAUUGGGGUUAAAGGGAGCGUAGGCGGGCGUUCAAGUCAGCUGUAAAAUCGCGGGGCUCAACCGCGACCCGAAGUUGAAACUGGAAGCCUUGAGUUCACAACAGGCAGGCGGAAUUCGUGGUGUAGCGGUGAAAUGCAUAGAUAUCACGAGGAACCCCGAUUGCGAAGGCAGCCUGCCGGGGUGCGACUGACGCUGAGGCUCGAAGGUGCGGGUAUCAAACAGGAUUAGAUACCCCUGUAGUC
This 459-nucleotide ribosomal RNA is filed under the name uncultured bacterium. Its description in RNAcentral is "partial 16S ribosomal RNA". It matches the Rfam family "Bacterial small subunit ribosomal RNA", at positions 338 to 795 of the family's 1533-position model. The record is from RNAcentral.